CUCCUUCCGGGUGUGUGCCGGCCUGUGCACCCCCAGAGUCCUGCCUCAGCCCCCACCUUGCCACGCUGUAUUCUCCCAGCAUCUCUGGCAGGGCUGGAGAUUAACAGGGGAUGGUGGGGCUGGGGGCCCCCCCAGGAGCAAUGCCCACAGCUCUCCGGACUCGAUGGACAAUGGCAGGCCUAACUUUGGGAGCCAGCCACCUUCAACAGCACCACCUGAAAUGAGAGACCACUGUCUAACUGAACUGACCUAUUCUCAAGAUUGAGACUGGUUUCAGAAACAAUAUAUAACUCUAAUGUCUUACUGGGUCCUUUUCCUAAUACUUCAACCUAAAAAUUGGCACAAAUAUUGAGCUGGUUAUAAGACCCGUACAUGUCUCUGGCCCAUAUUCUCUCUACAGGGGACACGAUAGACCCAAGAAAGGCAUUGCCACCUUGGCAUCGAGGAACUUUAAAAUGUUUUGUUUAAUCUAUGGUGUUUUCUGAGAGAGAAAAAAUCUUGAUCAAAAGGGAAACACUGAAGAAAUAAAAUGGGGUCGCUAUAGUCAAGCUGCUAAAUUACUAAACUCAAGUAGGUGGAGGCACAAGGAAACGAUUCUGGUUUUGCUUUAACCAACCUGGGAGCUUAAACUUUUGAACUUUUCGGUCCUGAGUCAAUGACUGGAUGUACAUCAGACCUUCAGAUAACCCUCUGAUUACCCCCGAAGGGCUAAGGAAAGAGUAUUCACUAUCCAGACCACCUGACACCCAGUAUCCAGACCACCGGUCAUCUAGAGGAACCAUCUCGGUCCAAUCCAGAGGCUAAGAAGGCAGGACUGAUUCUUCUCAAGAAUGUACUUUUUACUCUAAGAACUCAGCUCUUCUCUCUUCUUUGGAACACUCUAGGUAUUGCCUAGUUGUGUUUCCAGUUUAUAAACCCUAAGACCCUUGAAUAAAUCUUUAUCAUUUAUUUCUA
Molecule: long non-coding RNA, 954 nt
Organism: Rhinolophus ferrumequinum (greater horseshoe bat)
Lineage: Eukaryota; Metazoa; Chordata; Mammalia; Chiroptera; Rhinolophidae
Exons: 2
Source: RefSeq, a predicted model, not a curated record